CAAAACCUCAAACGUAAUUAAAAGGAUGUCCAGUUCACCAGAAGAAAAUCAAACUUUCAGAACGGGUGGCCACUCUGAAUUCCCUCACAGCUCCAAGCCCACUAUGGUUGGGGAUUACCUGCAUGGAUGAAAAUAAAAGGGGUGAGUUUGGGGAAACUCAGUGUGUAAAAUAACCCAACCAUAGUCUAAAUCAGCUCAACCUACAGAAACAGAAUAAGUUGGCCUUAGCCCAGAACAGAAAUUCAGAAUAAAGCCCAUAGGCCCAUAACAGAACAGAACAGAUAUUACAUGUUUAUGCAGAAACCCAACCCAGAUUCAUCCAUAACACCCCCGUACCAGCCUUACACCAUGUGGGGAGACUACUCGACCCACCCAACUGCUACACACCACAGAAAUCGCAGCGAGGCUGCCAGAUAUUGUGACGAAGUCACCAGAUAGAAAUAUUGUGGCAGAGCCACCAGAACAGAUAUAUGUGGCAGAGCCACCAGAUCAGAUAAUCGUGGCAUAGCCACCAGAACAGAUAUAUGUGGCAGAGCCACCAGAUCAGAUAAUUGUGGCAUAGCCACCAGGACGCUUCCUCCAUAAUAUAACCCAUGUCCCCAUGCAACAGAUAUAUAAUCAUGGCAUACAUCAUACAGAAUCAGAUCGUCAUGCUUUUCAGUCAAAAUUAAUCCUAGGGGUAUAACGGUAAUUUUGCACCUAGGGGUAUAAUAGUAAUUUUCCAUACAUAGGGGUAUUAUAGUAAUUUAGCUACUUUUAGGGUUUUCAUGCAUAUCCUAACUAUUUACGUACUAUCAGAACACUUACCGCGCAUACUUACCGAAUUGGGCCCGUUGGCCCAUGAAUCCGAUCUUUGGCCCAUUAAGCCCAAUUUAUCAAAAUGUACGAAAUCGCGCGUACUGCAGUUUAAUACUUUAGAUUACCAAAUAUACAAACCCAACUAUCUUACGAGCAUUCGCACACUCGCAAAUUCCCAAAAUACUGACUUUUCGGCAUUUCGGCUUUUUGGCUUUUGCCAAUCUAGUCUAUGAGAGGGUGUCAGUUACACACCUGUUUGCGAUGAUAUGCUGACGAGAUCCACACAUGAACCGCCUACAAUUGGAUUACUAACACGUUAAUCUAACUAUUCAAAUACAAACUACGUAUUAACCUCUUACAAUAUUCGGCCAACCACACUUACAGGUCAUAGUAAGCUUAUAAGAAAACAAUAAGCAACUCAUUAACAAAUUUUUGUCAAUGUUUACCACAUAAUCAUAAUUUCACUGCAAGCUGUCUUCCUGAGCAACAGUCACUAAAUUAUUUAUAACUGGAGCUACGAAACUCCAAAUCAAGUUCCGUUAAUUUUCCCUGAAAAUAGACUCAUAUAUCUUCUAUCCAUAAAAUUUUCAGAAUUUUUGGUAUGGCCAAUCAAUACCAGAUUUUUCUUAAAUUUUCCCAUGUUUCACUGUUUGACUAAUCUGAUCACUCUUCAUUACGAAUCAAAUUUCUCAUUGUACAGAAUCCAAAAUAUGUUCUCGUUUAUUCCAUUUGAAACUAGACUCAUUAAGCUUUAAUUACAUAAUUUAUGCAGCUUCUAUCUCAUCUCCCACAAUUUAUGGUGAUUUUCCAAAGUCACGUUACUGCUGCUGUCCCAAGUAGAUUUAUUACCAAAUCACUCUUUCACACCUAACUUGCAUGCUUGUUAUUUAAACAUGUAUAUCACCAAUAAAUCAUCGCAUAUCUAUGAUUUUACUUAAGUAUAAUCUCCAUUUCAUCAUUUUAAAGCACAACAUGUUAGCCGAUUUUUCCCCUUAGCAUCUAAGGCACAUGCAUGCUCAUUUGUUUGGCUCAACUUCACCUAUCUUCCAUUUUUCAUCAAAAGAACAUGAAACAACAACCAUUUCCUUGAUUUUAAUUCAUGACUAAAUGCUCACAACACAACUAAAAACCAAAAUAUGCUUCAAGAGUUAAGGUAGAAUCAAGAAGAACUCAUGAACAUCAAGAUAGAAGCAAACUACCAUGAACUUACCUUCAAUUUUCUUCCCCAAGUGACCGAACAUUCAAGAGCUUCCUCCUCUUCUUUCUCUUCUCUAACUUUCGGCUAUGAUGAACAAAGAUGGAC
RNAcentral lists this long non-coding RNA (2101 nucleotides) under Gossypium barbadense (sea-island cotton). Its description in RNAcentral is "long non-coding RNA (GBAR_LNC008918)". The record is from RNAcentral. Lineage: Eukaryota; Viridiplantae; Streptophyta; Magnoliopsida; Malvales; Malvaceae.